Spinacia oleracea (spinach) is the source of this 1249-nucleotide long non-coding RNA. RefSeq lists it as uncharacterized. The transcript is spliced from 3 exons. The record is from RefSeq and is a predicted model, not a curated record. NCBI's taxonomy places the organism in Eukaryota, Viridiplantae, Streptophyta, Magnoliopsida, Caryophyllales, Amaranthaceae.
UAAGUAACGAAUAUUUAUUUUUAUACGUUUUAAAUAUUUCAACGAUUUAUGAAAUUAAAAUUAUUUUAGAACUUUUUGUUGAAAAGAAAUCGAAUUACAAAAACCGUUUGAAUUUGGAAAACAAUCCUAAUGGGUUUUGGAUUCAAACACUUAAACUCAAUCCUAGUUCUAGCCCAAAAUGAUAAAGCCCAAAUAACAAAAACUCAAAUUCUUUACUCCCUCCUCUUUCUAUUUCACGUGAAAACCCAAAACCCAAAACCCCUUCCCUUCUCCUUCACUUUCACGUGAACCAGGACCCUCAACCCUCAACCUCAUUGUUGCUUCCGCCACGCCGCCAAACCAGUCGUCGGAGACCACCGUUGUCCCUCACCGCAGCUUCAAACGCCGGUAACUCCUCCAUCUCUUGCUUCAUUGUUCUUGCUUCUCCUUCGUUCUUAUUCUUAUCCUCUUGGUUGUUUUUGUUGCUCUCUGCCGCCACCACCACUGCGCAACUGGUUGCGCCGCACCAUCACAGCCACCGUGCACUGUUGCUGCACCGCCCAACUCGCCAACCAACGUUUUCCAUCAUCCUCUUUCUUGUUUCUUCAUUUUCACGACAGCAGCCAAGCACGACUAAGUGCGACCACCGUAGUCACCACCACCAGGCUCCAGCCGCGUCGCCCGUUCCCCGCGACCACCGCCCUGUGCCGCGCCGCCUGUGCUCCGCCGGCCAGCCUCCUCUCUCCUCUUUAAUUCUUGGUGGAGAAUUCUCCGUAGGCGACUUUUGAAUUAUUAAAGUGGUCUUGCAGUUUGUUUACACAAGUCUCUAAGGAUCAAUAAGCAUUGUCCAUCUGCAGGUUUGAAGAUGUUGCAUCAUUGGGAUCGGGAAUAGAGAGCUUGUAUUUAGUUUUGAUUUACUAAGUUGACUUGGGUUUGCUUAAUUGGACUUUAAACUUGUCAUACUAUUUAUAUUUCCUUAUUUUCGUUGGUUGAUUUUUGGGACUAAACCUGUAAUCGAUUAUUUAUAAACCUAAAGUUAGUUUUAUGUUUUCCGCUGCAAAAUUCUGAAUAAGCCGUUACGUUUUCACACGGGCGAUAAUGCCUUGAUAAUUCUCCACGUUUAUAUUAAAAGGUUAUUUUAGAAAAUUGAGAAUUGUCGGGGUGUUACAAAGUGGUAUCUAGAAGCUAAGGUUUUACUUUAACAAUUUUUUUUAGGCGCCUAACUAUCUAGUUAUUUAAAAUGAAUUUCUUAAAAAUCGAGCUUCUACGC